GCUACUGAAGGAUAACAGUCAUCCGUUGGUCUUAGGUACCAAAAACUCUUGGUGCAAAUCCAAGCAUUAGCU
Molecule: transfer RNA, 72 nt
Filed under: Scarus forsteni (Forsten's parrotfish)
Lineage: Eukaryota; Metazoa; Chordata; Actinopteri; Labriformes; Labridae
Also listed under: 3 other names
Description: tRNA-Leu
Rfam family: tRNA
About the family: Transfer RNA (tRNA) molecules are approximately 80 nucleotides in length. Their secondary structure includes four short double-helical elements and three loops (D, anti-codon, and T loops).
Source: RNAcentral